Long non-coding RNA from Homo sapiens (human), 392 nucleotides. NCBI's taxonomy places the organism in Eukaryota, Metazoa, Chordata, Mammalia, Primates, Hominidae. The record is from Ensembl.
CUCACUCUCCCUCCUUCUCUGCCAUGUUCACUCAGGGUACAUCCAAUGAGGACAUGGAUGACGAAAAUGCAACAUUGCUGACAGAGUUUGUUCUCACAGGACUUACAUAUCAAUCAGAGUGGAAAAUACCCCUGUUCCUGGCAUUCUUGGUCUGUACAGACUUUUCAUUUCUUCAUGACUCACUCUUGGGGAUCAUCCGGGCCAGAGUGAAUGUGAAUGGAAGAGCAGUGCCUUCUUGUGGUCACCAUGGUUUGGGCAGCAGUUGUGACUACUUCCCCAAGGGGAAAACAAGUAUCUGGGAAAAGGUUUGGGGGUUAUAAGGCCCAUGACUCCUUUCACAUGGAGAUUUGCUCUCUACUGCAAAAUUAAAAGUGUUAUUAUGGAAAAUGAAA